RNAcentral lists this transfer RNA (81 nucleotides) under Beauveria bassiana ARSEF 2860. RNAcentral describes it as "tRNA-Ser (CGA) (tRNA-Ser-CGA-1-1)". It matches the Rfam family "tRNA". Rfam says of the family: Transfer RNA (tRNA) molecules are approximately 80 nucleotides in length. Lineage: Eukaryota; Fungi; Ascomycota; Sordariomycetes; Hypocreales; Cordycipitaceae. The record is from RNAcentral.
GGUCUGGUGGUCUAGUGUAAGUUCCUUAUAAACGCUUCCCUCGAAUGCGAGAGGUCCCGGGUUCAAUCCCCGGCCAGACCC